GUGCCCUUAGCUCAGCUGGUAGAGCACCUGACUCUUAAUCAGGGUGUCGAGAGUUCGAGCCUCUCAGGGCGCACCA
RNAcentral lists this transfer RNA (76 nucleotides) under Tissierellia bacterium S5-A11. RNAcentral's name for it is "tRNA-Lys". It matches the Rfam family "tRNA". Rfam says of the family: Transfer RNA (tRNA) molecules are approximately 80 nucleotides in length. Their secondary structure includes four short double-helical elements and three loops (D, anti-codon, and T loops). RNAcentral also lists the same sequence under 1 other name. Lineage: Bacteria; Bacillati; Bacillota; Tissierellia. The record is from RNAcentral.